Corticium candelabrum is the source of this 781-nucleotide long non-coding RNA. RefSeq lists it as uncharacterized. Lineage: Eukaryota; Metazoa; Porifera; Homoscleromorpha; Homosclerophorida; Plakinidae. The record is from RefSeq and is a predicted model, not a curated record. The transcript has 3 exons.
UACACAGUGGUCAACUCUCUAGCACGAAGGAAGAGUCACGUGGAUACAAUGCGAAGCUUCUGUCUAGCCACUAGGAAUAGAUCAGCGGCACUAGAUCAUACAAAAGAUCCGGAAAGUCAAUCUAAGAGUGUUAGUCAAUCUGGAGACACCAAGACAGCCAGCCAAGACCAGAAAUUGAUCCAGAUCCUGACGCUCACAAUCAGAUCUGGAUUGAGUGUCCACGCUGCACCUUGGAAUGCCCUAUCGCCCAUCAUGUGAUGCAUGUAUUAGACGAGCUCUUUUAUGUAUGUGGAAAGCCUACUUAUCAAGUCCAGCUGGCUCUGUACAUUUUCUUGUGCCCAAAUAAACACAAGAGCAGUUGUUGCUUUGGUGCUCCAACCAGACGAAUCUGCUCUGCGGCUAGUGCAGUAACACAAUGUCACGUGAGAAUGUGAGGGUCAACAUGCACUUGUGAUACAGAAUUGAUUUCACGGAUCUGGAUCAAUCAUUGAUUCAGAUUAAACCCACCUCUAGAUGUGGAGUGAGAUUGAUCACGAUUGGAUCCGGAUUGGUUCGAAGUGGAUCAGGUGUGGAUGUGACAGAUUAUGAUUGGAGAUCGAGCUGGGUCCAGUGUCUUGUGUGGACAGUGUUUUAGUGUUAGUGUCAUGACUGCAGUUAUUGAAGCAUACAGAUUUCAUUUUGUUUGCCUUGGUGUCUUUUCAUGCACAUCUGAUUCCUGUUAGAGACUUCUGUAAGAGUGUUUGGACUUGUUUGUUUCAGCUACGAGCCAUAAAAAACGGGA